GCCAGCGUAGCUCAGUUGGUAGAGCAGCGGUUUCGUAAACCGCAGGUCAGCAGUUCGAUUCUGCUCGCUGGCU
Molecule: transfer RNA, 73 nt
Filed under: Caldifarciminota bacterium
Lineage: Bacteria; Pseudomonadati; Caldifarciminota
Description: candidate division WOR-3 bacterium tRNA-Thr
Rfam family: tRNA
About the family: Transfer RNA (tRNA) molecules are approximately 80 nucleotides in length. Their secondary structure includes four short double-helical elements and three loops (D, anti-codon, and T loops).
Source: RNAcentral